This 662-nucleotide long non-coding RNA is filed under the name Olea europaea (common olive). Its description in RNAcentral is "long non-coding RNA (OEUR_LNC005453)". The record is from RNAcentral. Lineage: Eukaryota; Viridiplantae; Streptophyta; Magnoliopsida; Lamiales; Oleaceae.
CAUCCAAUUCGUCGAAAAUUUUAUCUCCUAGCCAGCAUCUCAUUCUACAAACACAUCACACACAAUUAAUUGACACAAUCAACAUCAUAUGAAGAUCAAAAUUGGCCCUUAAAUCCAUACGAGACGUGUGGCCCAGCAACAAAAUUCGGAAACUCUAGUGAUACUAAUGAUUGUGCGCCGUUGCAAGGUGGUUUGUCUUACCUAGGUGCUCUAAUUCAUGGCGAAACAUUAUCCAAAAUAGCUUCAAUUAUUCUGAGGCAUUUUGUUCUUUCCCCAAGCCUAACUUGCCGCUACAAUUGGAGUUGGUGCUUGUCUCCAAAUCUAAAAUGCAUUCAGCCUCCUCAUCAACUUGGUGAUGGUGGUGAUGUGGUGGUUUUGUCACCUAAACUUAUCUAGGCUUCGAUUUUUUCAGAUUCAUUGAGGCGAGGUUGUGGUGGAAAACCAGUUAACUUCUUCGUAUCUUGGUGGUGGUGGUGGGGUUGUAGGUAGAGAUGGAUAUGUUUUUUCCAUAUUAAAAAGUUCGAUUUUGAUUAUGAUUAUGAUUUUUUAUUUGGGUUUCAUUUGACAGUGGUGAAGAUGGUAGUAGAGGUGGUGGCAGCUAUGAUUUGGUUGCGACAACCAGGGGCUAUAGGCAGUAAUAGGUAGACGUGUUUGGUUUUGGG